GUCCAGACUCCUACGUGAGGCAGCAUUUUUGAAUCUUCCGCAAUGGGCGAAAUCCUUACGGCGCAACACCUCGUGAUCGAAUGAAUGCCUUCGUUUUUUAAAGAUCUGUUGACAGGGACGAAUAAUCAAUGCGAAUAUUUUUGUGUAUGACUUUACCUGUUUAUAAAUCUCCGGCUAACUACUUGCCAGCAUCCUCUUUAAUACGUAGUUAUCAAGCGUUGUCCGGAAUUACUGGGCGUAAAGGGCGCGUAGGUGGGCGCUUAAGUCAGGUGUGAAAACUCCGGGCUCAACCUGGAGACUGCACUUGAAACUGGGUGUCUUGAGGGCAGGAGAGGAAAGUGGAAGUCCUAGGGUAGCGGUGAAAUGCGUAGAUAUUAGGAGGAACACCAGUGGCGAAGGCGACUUUCUGGACUGUACCUGACGCUGAGGCGCGAAAGCGUGGGUAGCGAACGGGAUUAGAUACCCUUGUC
RNAcentral lists this ribosomal RNA (470 nucleotides) under uncultured bacterium. RNAcentral describes it as "bacterial SSU rRNA". It matches the Rfam family "Bacterial small subunit ribosomal RNA", at positions 329 to 792 of the family's 1533-position model. The record is from RNAcentral.